Molecule: long non-coding RNA, 323 nt
Filed under: Gossypium raimondii (Peruvian cotton)
Lineage: Eukaryota; Viridiplantae; Streptophyta; Magnoliopsida; Malvales; Malvaceae
Description: long non-coding RNA (GRAI_LNC004386)
Source: RNAcentral
GGAAUCCAAUAAAUAUAGGGAAUUUUACUUACCAACCUACCGUAAUUGGGAACGAGAAACGAUUGUCGACUGUUCUAAACACCAACGAGAUCCAAUUGAAGAGAGGGUGAUUCGAUAAGAAGAGUGAAAUCGACGAUUCAAAAGUGGUGGAGGAUACGGCGAUAAAUAGGGUGCAAGGGCAAGGAAAAGAAAAAAAAGAAAGGGAAAGGAAAAAAAAAGAAAAUAGAGGAGAAGGGAAGAACGGCGCAAAGGAGAGGAGAAUAGAGGAGAAAGGGAGGUGGCUAGGGAAACAGAGGAGAGAAAAUAGAGAAUUAAGGUUAGGG